AUUCUGCCCUAUGAUUAUUUAAAUGGCUGCAGUAUUCUGACUGUGCAAAGGUAGCAUAAUAAUUAGUCUUUUAAUUGGAGACUUGUAUGAAUGAAUAUAUGAAGGAUUUGUUUUAUUAAUUUUAAAAUUAAAAUUUGAUUUUUUAGUUAAAAAGCUUAAUUGAUUUUUUGGGACGAUAAGACCCUAUAGAACUUAAAAUUUUAACAUAUAUUUAAAUUUUUAGUUUAAUAUUAAAUUUUAUACUUGUUAUAUUUUUUUGUUGGGGUGACAAAUAAAUUUUUUAACUUUAUUUUUUUUAUUCAUUGUUUUAUGUAAUUUUGAUCCAUUAAUGUGAUUAUAAGAUUUAGUUACCUUAGGGAUAACAGCGUGAUUUUAAUGGGGAGUUCUUAUCUAUAUUAAAGUUUGCGACCUCGAUGUUGAAUUAAGAUAAUAGUGAGGGGUAG
This 443-nucleotide ribosomal RNA is filed under the name Diedrocephala bimaculata. RNAcentral's name for it is "partial large subunit ribosomal RNA". The record is from RNAcentral. Lineage: Eukaryota; Metazoa; Arthropoda; Insecta; Hemiptera; Cicadellidae.